RNAcentral lists this non-coding RNA (233 nucleotides) under Clostridium beijerinckii. RNAcentral describes it as "T-box sequence". It matches the Rfam family "T-box leader". From Rfam's summary of the family: Uncharged tRNA acts as the effector for transcription antitermination of genes in the T-box leader family. The record is from RNAcentral. Lineage: Bacteria; Bacillati; Bacillota; Clostridia; Eubacteriales; Clostridiaceae.
AUAAAUCCUAUGAAGAGGGAUAGUAAUCAUAUAACAAUGUUAAAGAGAGCUGAAGGUGGUGAGAUUUCAGUACGGUAGUUAAUGAUGAAUGGGCCUUUGAGGAGCGAGAUGAAAUCUUUUGAGAGUAGUUUAGCCGUAAGUCGCACGUUAUAGCGAAUAAGAUAUGUUUGUAUCUGAAAUGAGAGGCAUUUUAUGCAAUCUAGGUGGCAACGCGGAUAAUAUCCGUCCUAUUA